This 3629-nucleotide long non-coding RNA is filed under the name Gallus gallus (chicken). RNAcentral's name for it is "lncRNA (ENSGALG00010000696.1)". Lineage: Eukaryota; Metazoa; Chordata; Aves; Galliformes; Phasianidae. The record is from RNAcentral.
GAAAUGGGGCCAAAUUGGGGACGUUUGGGCUGUUUUGUACAAUUUAUCCCUUCUGAGGUCGUCUGAACGGUGGAAAUGGAGGAUUUGGAGAGUGUAUGAAUGUAGGGAUGUGUGUGCACACGUAUGCACGUAGUAUGGAGCGUUACAUGUGAGAUAUCCAUGAAAAUGCAUGAAAUAGCCCCAAAAAGAGGCGCACAGAAGAGGUGACUGUGAAGGAAGGGCCACAGUGGUGGAUGGUCUGAACUGCUGGGCAGAGAAGCUGAAGGAUUUUCUAUGGCUUCCGGUGCUCAGAGCCUUUGGAAGCACUGAGACGGUUCGGAGGAUGGGAUGGUUUGUUGAGUUUUGGGGGGGCUUCGAGCUUUUAAACCAACGGAGAUCUGCAGCACUGCGUCCAAAUCUGGAGCCCCCAAUAGGAGAAAGACAGCGGAGGGUCCCUUCUAUUCACAGGAGGGCCACAGAGGUGAUCGGAGGGCUGCAGCACCUCCCAUACAGAGACAGGCUGAGGGAGAUGGGGUAUUGAGCCUGGAGAAGGGAACAGAAGGCUGCGGGGUGACCUCAGUGCAGCCUUCCGGGACCUUAAAGGGGAGCCCCCAAACAGGAGGGGAGGCGACUCUUGGAAGGGCAGAUAACAGCAGGAUGAGGGGACGUGGUUUGGAGUUGAAGGAGGGCAGAUGGAGGUUGGAUGUGAGGGGGAACAGCUGCCCGGAGAGGCUGUGGAUGCCCCGUCCGUCCCUGGAGGUGUUGAAGGCCACGUUGGAUGGGGUAUCCAAUGGGAUGGCCUUAAAUGUGGACGUGGUCUUUUGGGGUCCCUUCCAUCCCAACCAUUCUAUGAUCCUGAGAGAUUAAAGCCACAGUGGAUGUCGGUGGCCCUGCCUGUUUUGGGGGGGGUUGGAGCCUUUGGGGUCCCUUCCAACCCAACCAUUUUGUGACCCUGUGAGAUUAAAGCCACAGCGGAGGUGGUGGCCCUGCCUGUUUUGGGGGGGUUGGAUCCUCGUGAUCUUUUGGGGUCCCUUCCAACCCAACCAUUCUGUGACCCUGUGAGAUAAAGCCACAGUGGAUGUUGGUGGCCCUGCCUGUUUUGGGGGGGUUGGAGCCUUUGGGGUCCCUUCUAACCCAACCAUUCUGUGACCCUAUGAGAUUAAAGCCACAGUGGAGGUGGUGGCCCUGCCUGUGGUGGUGGGGGUUGGUUGAAGCCUUGUGAUGUUUUGGGGUCCCUUCCAACCCAACCAUUCUGUGACCCUGUGAGAUAAAGCCACAGUGGAUGUUGGUGGCCCUGCCUGUUUUGGGGGGGGGGGGGGGUUGGAGCCUUUGGGGUCCCUUCCAACCCAACCAUUCUGUAACCCUGUGAGAUUAAAGCCACAGUGGAUGUUGGUGGCCCUGCCUGUUUUGGGGGGAGUUGGAGCCUCGUGAUCUUUUGGGGUCCCUUCCAACCCAACCAUUCUGUGACCCUAUGAGAUUAAAGCCACAGUGGAUGUUGGUGGCCCUGCCUGUUUUGGGGGGGCUUGGAGCCUUUGGGGUCCCUUCCAACCCAACCAUUUUGUGACCCUGUGAGAUUAAAGCCACAGUGGAUGUGGUGGCCCUGCCUGUUUUGGGGGGGAGGUUGGAUCCUCGUGAUCUUCUGGGGUCCCUUCCAACCCAACCAUUCUUUGACCCUGUGAGAUAAAGCCACAGUGGAUGUUGGUGGCCCUGCCUGUUUUGGGGGGGGUUGGAGCCUUUGGGGUCCCUUCUAACCCAACCAUUCUGUGACCCUGAGAGGUAAAGCCACAGUGGAUGUUGGUGGCCCUGCCUGUUUUGGGGGGGCUUGGAGCCUUUGGGGUCCCUUCUAACCCAACCAUUCUGUGACCCUGAGAGGUAAAGCCACAGUGGAUGUUGGUGGCCCUGCCUGUUUUGGGGGGGGUUGGAGCCUUUGGGGUCCCUUCCAACCCAACCAUUCUGUGACCCUGUGAGAUUAAAGCCAGGAAGGGGGCAGGUGAGACUUAAGUUUAAAACGUGAGCCGGAAACUGAAGUUUGCAACAGAGCGGGUUGAAAAAGGAAGCAUUUGUGGAUGGGGCGGGGGGGUGGAAAUGCAUUAAAGGGAACGUCCUGAUGUGUGAUAUGGUUUUUUUCCCCCCCCAGCCAGCAGCUAUGGGCAGGAGCAGGCCCCGCUGAGCAGCUCAGGAGGAUACCAGGAGCAGAGCUAUGGAGGGCAGCAGGAGCGCAGCCGCGGGCGCGGAGGGUACGGCCGGGGCGGCUACGAGCGCGGUGGCCGUGGUAGCCGGGGAGGCCGUGGAGGCAACAUGGGGUAGGUGUGGGCCAGCAAACGGGGCCAAAAAGGGAGAAAAUGGGCAAAAGGAGGAGGGGGGGGGAAGCCCUGUGGGGUGUGGGGGCUUCCGGAGGUGGUGAAAUGGGGGAGAACGCCCCGAAAAUGAGGGAGAGAGACAUCCCCCCCCACCCCCCCCCCGGUUCUCCAAGAGCGGUGGUUGGAGUUGGGGGGAAAUGGUUUAAAAAAGAGAGAGUGGUGGAUGAUGGAAGCGUGGGGAGAAAAGGGGUGGUGGGGGAUGUCAGAGGGUGGGGGCUGAUAGUGCUGUGAGGAGGGGAGAAAUGGGGAAUAAUGCCCUACUGGGGGGAAAGCUCUGGAUAUAGCGGGGCUUUCCUGAGGUGGAAAUGGGGUUAAAUGGGGGAAAAAAAAAAAAGAAUUGUGGUAUGAAGGAAAAUGAUUUGGUGGGGAACCCUCUGGGGAGUGGGGGACUCCAGAGGGGGAAAGUGGGGGGAGAAAUGGGGGAAAAUGCCCCCCCCCCCAAAAAAAAUGAGGGAGAGACACCCCGAUUAGCGGUGCUUUGAAUGGUCCAAAAAUGGGAGAAACGGUGGAAAAAAGAAAUGAUGAUAAUGUUAAAUAUAAGGGAGAGAGGUGGUGAGGAACCCCCUGGGAAUGGGGGCGUAUGGUGGGGGAAAUGCCCCAAAAAUGACGGAGGGAAACCCCUGGGGGUGGGGGCUUCUGUGGCUGAAAAUGGGGGGAAAACGGUCAAAAGAAAAAGAAAAAAGGGGGGGGGAGGGGUACACAAAAAUAACCAAAAGCACAGAGAGGUGGUGGGGAACCCCCCAGGAGUGGGGGCUGUGGUCAAAAAACGGGGGAAAAUGGUAAAAAAUGAAACUGCAGAAUUGAGGGCAGAGGUUGAUGGGAGGGGUCCUCCCGAUAGCAAAUGGGUGAAUUGACCAAAAGGAGCGAAAAUGCACCCAAAAAGGUUCAGUGGGGGCACAUGGAGCUGUGCGAAGUGGUAAGAGCCCCCCAAAAAUGGGGAGAAAAAGGUGUUUUUAGGGACAGACACCAACGUUGGGUGUGAAGGUGAUGCGUGGCACAGCCGCGGUGGUAAAAAACACGAUGGAAAAUAAGGAGGAAUGGAGGAAAAAAGGAGAAGAAUGGGAUAGGAGUUGGGAAGGGGAAGUGGGAGGAAAUGGGAAGGAAGAAAGGAGGUGGGAAAAAAUGAGGAAACGUGAGAAAAAUAUAUUAAAAAAAUGAGGAAAUAGGAGGGAAGAUGAGGUGUGGAAAAGGAGGAGUGGGAAGAUGAGGAAGGGUGAGGGGGAAAAGGAAAAUGGGGGAAGGAAAGGAAACAGGAAAUUGAAUGGGGGCGGGGGAGGAAGUGAGGAAAUA